UACAGAGGUCCCAAGCGUUGUUCGGAUUCACUGGGCGUAAAGGGUGCGUAGGCGGUCGGGUAAGUCUGAUGUGAAAUCUCACAGCUUAACUGUGAAACUGCAUUGGAUACUAUCCGGCUCGAGGAAUGGAGGGGAGACUGGAAUUCUCGGUGUAGCAGUGAAAUGCGUAGAUAUCGAGAGGAACACCAGUGGCGAAGGCGAGUCUCUGGACAUUUCCUGACGCUGAGGCACGAAAGCCAGGGGAGCAAACGGG
Molecule: ribosomal RNA, 253 nt
Filed under: uncultured bacterium
Lineage: Bacteria
Description: partial 16S ribosomal RNA
Rfam family: Bacterial small subunit ribosomal RNA
Source: RNAcentral